RNAcentral lists this ribosomal RNA (429 nucleotides) under Pseudomonadota bacterium. RNAcentral's name for it is "Proteobacteria bacterium partial 16S ribosomal RNA". It matches the Rfam family "Bacterial small subunit ribosomal RNA", at positions 355 to 776 of the family's 1533-position model. Lineage: Bacteria; Pseudomonadati; Pseudomonadota. The record is from RNAcentral.
UGGGGAAUAUUGGACAAUGGGCGAAAGCCUGAUCCAGCCAUGCCGCGUGUGUGAAGAAGGUCUUCGGCUUGUAAAGCACUUUAAGUUGGGAGGAAGGGCAGUAAGCGAAUACCUUGCUGUUUUGACGUUACCGACAGAAUAAGCACCGGCUAACUCUGUGCCAGCAGCCGCGGUAAUACAGAGGGUGCAAGCGUUAAUCGGAAUUACUGGGCGUAAAGCGCGCGUAGGUGGUUCGUUAAGUUGAAUGUGAAAGCCCCGGGCUCAACCUGGGAACUGCAACCAAAACUGGCGAGCUAGAGUAGGGCAGAGGGUAGUGGAAUUUCCUGUGUAGCGGUGAAAUGCGUAGAUAUAGGAAGGAACACCAGUGGCGAAGGCGACCGCCUGGGCUCAUACUGACACUGAGGUGCGAAAGCGUGGGGAGCAAACAGG